GCAUUGGUGGUUCAGUGGUAAAAUUCUAGGUUGCCAUGCUGGAGACCUAGGUUCGAUUCCCAGCCAAUGCA
This 71-nucleotide transfer RNA is filed under the name Ameiurus melas (black bullhead). It matches the Rfam family "tRNA". Rfam says of the family: Transfer RNA (tRNA) molecules are approximately 80 nucleotides in length. The record is from Rfam by way of RNAcentral. Lineage: Eukaryota; Metazoa; Chordata; Actinopteri; Siluriformes; Ictaluridae.